This 354-nucleotide ribosomal RNA is filed under the name uncultured bacterium. Its description in RNAcentral is "partial 16S ribosomal RNA". It matches the Rfam family "Bacterial small subunit ribosomal RNA", at positions 338 to 709 of the family's 1533-position model. The record is from RNAcentral.
CCUACGGGUGGCUGCAGUGGGGGAUAUUGCACAAUGGGGGAAACCCUGAUGCAGCAACGCCGCGUGAGUGAAGAAGGUCUUCGGAUUGUAAAGCUCUGUUCUUGGUGAAGAUAAUGACGGUAGCCAAGGAGAAAGCUGCGGCCCAAUACGUGCCAGCAGCCGUGGUAAUACGUAGGGAGCGAGCGUUGUCCGGAUUUACUGGGUGUAAAGGGUGUGCAGGCGGCUCUGCAAGUCAGGCGUGAAAGCUAGGGGGUCAACCCCUAAACUGCGCUUGAAACUGGGGGUCUUGAGUGAAGUAGAGGCAGGCGGAAUUCGCGGUGUAGCGGUGAAAUGCGUAGAGAGCGGGAAGAACAC